GGGAAUGUAGCUUAGUGGUAGAGUGCUUGUCUAGCAUGCAUGAAGCCCUGGGUUCAAUUCCUCAGUACCA
This 70-nucleotide transfer RNA is filed under the name Dipodomys ordii (Ord's kangaroo rat). It matches the Rfam family "tRNA". Rfam says of the family: Transfer RNA (tRNA) molecules are approximately 80 nucleotides in length. Their secondary structure includes four short double-helical elements and three loops (D, anti-codon, and T loops). The record is from Rfam by way of RNAcentral. Lineage: Eukaryota; Metazoa; Chordata; Mammalia; Rodentia; Heteromyidae.